AAAUGGGGGGGGGGGUUCCCACCCUCGGAUCCCCCUGGAUCCGUGCCUGUGAGGCAUGCUUUAGCUUGCCAUUAAACAAAAAUGUAUACUAGUUGAGUGAUAAUGGACGUGAUACUAAACUCCUCAAUGUAAAAAAAAGAAACUAAAAUAAAAAUCAUACAAAGGUCACAAAGGCCAUAACUUCUGGCCCCUGACUUGGGAAAAGUGCAAAAUGCAGUGGGGUUAAAAGCCUUUACUGUAAAUUCCUAAAAUUACAAUUAUAUAAAUCAUCUCGCAUCUUGGUGCAUUUCUGAAAAUUGGUCAUAUUAAUAAAUGCAUGCUAUAUUUUCAGAAAAUUUCAAUAUAUAUAGG
Molecule: long non-coding RNA, 351 nt
Filed under: Mytilus galloprovincialis (Mediterranean mussel)
Lineage: Eukaryota; Metazoa; Mollusca; Bivalvia; Mytilida; Mytilidae
Source: RNAcentral